GACGAACGCUGGCGGCGUGCUUAACACAUGCAAGUCGAACGGAAAGGCCCUGCUUUUGUGGGGUGCUCGAGUGGCGAACGGGUGAGUAACACGUGAGUAACCUGCCCUUGACUUUGGGAUAACUUCAGGAAACUGGGGCUAAUACCGGAUAGGAGCUCCUGCUGCAUGGUGGGGGUUGGAAAGUUUCGGCGGUGGGGGAUGGACUCGCGGCUUAUCAGCUUGUUGGUGGGGUAGUGGCUUACCAAGGCUUUGCCGGGUAGCCGGCCUGCGAGGGUGACCGGCCACAUUGGGACUGAGAUACGGCCCAGACUCCUACGGGAGGCAGCAGUGGGGAAUAUUGCACAAUGGGCGGAAGCCUGAUGCAGCAACGCCGCGUGCGGGAUGACGGCCUUCGGGCUGUAAACCGCUUUCGCCUGUGACGAAGCGUGAGUGACGGUAAUGGGUAAAGAAGCACCGGCUAACUACGUG
RNAcentral lists this ribosomal RNA (468 nucleotides) under uncultured bacterium. RNAcentral's name for it is "partial 16S ribosomal RNA". It matches the Rfam family "Bacterial small subunit ribosomal RNA", at positions 28 to 507 of the family's 1533-position model. The record is from RNAcentral.